Molecule: non-coding RNA, 555 nt
Filed under: Trichinella sp. T8
Lineage: Eukaryota; Metazoa; Nematoda; Enoplea; Trichinellida; Trichinellidae
Description: Eukaryotic large subunit ribosomal RNA
Rfam family: Eukaryotic large subunit ribosomal RNA
Source: Rfam by way of RNAcentral
AAUAUCACACGGAAGAUGAAAGAACACCUGAGCUGGUUGACGUUUGAAAACACCAUCCGAAUUUAUAACUCAUUCAUGAAGAACUGAGGUUUUUGUUUUCUUUUACCUUUUACCAUUUUUUAUUGUUACAUUGUUGUUAUUUGCUUUAAUCCUGCAUUUUACCGUCGGCAAUUCCAUCGUUAUUAUUACUGUUAUUGUUAUUAUUAUUACUAUUGUUAUUACUUUUACUUACUAUUGUUAUUACGAUUUAUUUCGUAUACUUACGUUAUUGUUACUACUACUUACUUUGCUCUCGCAAACGUUCGUUGUUGUUACUUUUGGACCAGGUUAAGAGAAAUCGCACGCACAGCGGAACUGGACCGCUUAAGCCAGAAACAGUAAAGUAACAAUAGCCAAAUGCCUCGUCAUCUAAUUAGUGACGCGUAUGAAUGGAUCAACAAGAUUCCUUCUGUCCCUAUCUACUAUCUAGCGAAACCACAGCCAAGGGAACGGGCUUGGCAAAAUCAGCGGGGAAAGAAGACCCUGUUGAGCUUGACUCUAGUCUGACUCUGUGAA